Molecule: unclassified non-coding RNA, 202 nt
Filed under: root metagenome
Description: partial contains small subunit ribosomal RNA, internal transcribed spacer 1, and 5.8S ribosomal RNA
Source: RNAcentral
UCUCCGUAGGUGAACCUGCGGAGGGAUCAUUACUGAGUUUUUAACUCUCCAAACCAUGUGAACUUACCACUGUUGCCUCGGUGGUCGGUGCUGGAAACAGUGCUGCCACCGGUGGACUACUAAACUCUUGUUAAUUUUUGUCAAAUCUGAAUCAAAACUAAGAAAUAAGUUAAAACUUUCAACAACGGAUCUCUUGGUUCUG